CCUACGGGUGGCAGCAGUGGGGAAUAUUGCACAAUGGGGGGAACCCUGAUGCAGCAAUGCCGCGUGGGUGAAGAAGCACUCCGGUGCGUAAAGCCCUGUCAGCAGGGAAGAAAAUGACAGUGCCUGGACAAGAAGCCCCGGCUAACUACGUGCCAGCAGCCGCGGUAAUACGUAGGGGGCAAGCGUUAUCCGGAUUUACUGGGGGUAAAGGGGGCGCAGGCGGCGUGGCAAGUCAGAUGUGAAAACCCGGGGCUAAACUUUGGGACGGCUUUUGAAGCUGAGUAGCGAGAGUGCAGGAGGGGUAAGGGGAAUUCCUGGGGUAGGGGGGAAAUGGGUAGAGAUUAGGAGGAAAACCAGGGGCGAAGGCGGCUUACGGGACGGUAACUGACGUUGAGGCUCGAAAGCGUGGGGAGCAAACAGGAUUAGAUACCCCAGUAGU
RNAcentral lists this ribosomal RNA (439 nucleotides) under uncultured bacterium. RNAcentral's name for it is "partial 16S ribosomal RNA". It matches the Rfam family "Bacterial small subunit ribosomal RNA", at positions 338 to 794 of the family's 1533-position model. The record is from RNAcentral.